UUGACCUCGAAUCAGGUAGGAAUACCCGCUGAACUUAAGCAUAUCAAUAAGCGGAGGAAAAGAAACCAACCGGGAUUACCUCAGUAACGGCGAGUGAAGCGGUAACAGCUCAAAUUUGAAAUCUGGCUCCUCUGGAGUCCGAGUUGUAAUUUGUAGAAGAUGCUUUGGGUUGUGGACUCGGCCUAAGUUCCUUGGAACAGGACGUCAUAGAGGGUGAGAAUCCCGUAUGCGGCCGAGGCCCGCGCCUAUGUAAAGCUCUUUCGACGAGUCGAGUUGUUUGGGAAUGCAGCUCAAAAUGGGUGGUAAAUUUCAUCUAAAGCUAAAUAUGGGCCAGAGACCGAUAGCGCACAAGUAGAGUGAUCGAAAGAUGAAAAGCACUUUGGAAAGAGAGUUAAACAGUACGUGAAAUUGUUGAAAGGGAAGCGCUUGCAACCAGACUUGGGCGCUGCCGAUCACCCCGAGUUCUCUCAGGUGCACUCGACAGCGCACAGGCCAGCAUCGGUUCGGGUGGCUGGAUAAAGG
This 522-nucleotide ribosomal RNA is filed under the name Erysiphe pulchra. Its description in RNAcentral is "eukaryotic LSU rRNA". It matches the Rfam family "Eukaryotic large subunit ribosomal RNA", at positions 1 to 525 of the family's 3401-position model. The record is from RNAcentral. Lineage: Eukaryota; Fungi; Ascomycota; Leotiomycetes; Helotiales; Erysiphaceae.